CCGGAUGCUCGUGCGCACCGGAAGUGAGGUUUCUCCGCGAUCGUCGUGUUGUGGUUAUCAACAUUAUUUUUGUUGAUAAUUUGAAAUAGUUUCUCUGAAUGUAAUAGCGCAUUUAUACUUGCGGAGGAGAAAGCCGAAACUUCCUCAUCAGCUGCUGCGUGUCCUCAGAGAGAGAGAGAGAGAGAGAGAAACAGAGUAAUUAAAUAGAGUAAUAUUAGAGAAUAAGCUGAUUAAUUAUUGUCGAAAUGAGUCUUAGCGAGCAGCAAGAGAGCAGCGCAGCACCGCGGGGAACCGCAUGACCACACUACUGGACCAAGAAGAAGAAAACGAGUUUUACAAGACCACCUAUGGAGGAUUCAAUCAGGAGUCUGGAGAUGAUGAGUACAGAGGAGAUCACUCAGACACUGAAGACGAGGUGGACAGUGAUUUUGACAUCGAUGAAGGAGACGAACCCGACAGCGAUCAGGAGGACGACGCUCCGCGCAGAAAGAGCCGCGUGGUCACCAAAGCGUACAAGGAGCCGCUGAAGGUCU
Cyprinus carpio (common carp) is the source of this 533-nucleotide long non-coding RNA. RefSeq lists it as uncharacterized. NCBI's taxonomy places the organism in Eukaryota, Metazoa, Chordata, Actinopteri, Cypriniformes, Cyprinidae. The transcript is spliced from 3 exons. The record is from RefSeq and is a predicted model, not a curated record.